GACGAACGCUGGCGGCGUGCCUAAUACAUGCAAGUUGAGCGAUGAAGAUUGGUGCUUGCACCAAUUUGAAGAGCAGCGAACGGGUGAGUAACGCGUGGGGAAUCUGCCUUUGAGCGGGGGACAACAUUUGGAAACGAAUGCUAGUACCGCAUAACAACUUUAAACAUAAGUUUUAAGUUUGAAAGAUGCAAUUGCAUCACUCAAAGAUGAUCCCGCGUUGUAUUAGCUAGUUGGUGAGGUAAAGGCUCACCAAGGCGAUGAUACAUAGCCGACCUGAGAGGGUGAUCGGCCACAUUGGGACUGAGACACGGCCCAAACUCCUACGGGAGGCAGCAGUAGGGAAUCUUCGGCAAUGGACGAAAGUCUGACCGAGCAACGCCGCGUGAGUGAAGAGGGUUUUCGGAUCGUAAAACUCUGUUGGUAGAGAAGAACGUUGGUGAGAGUGGAAAGCUCAUCAAGUGACGGUAACUACCCAGAAAGGGACGGCUAACUACGUG
Molecule: ribosomal RNA, 497 nt
Filed under: uncultured bacterium
Lineage: Bacteria
Description: partial 16S ribosomal RNA
Rfam family: Bacterial small subunit ribosomal RNA
Source: RNAcentral